RNAcentral lists this ribosomal RNA (423 nucleotides) under uncultured bacterium. RNAcentral's name for it is "partial 16S ribosomal RNA". It matches the Rfam family "Bacterial small subunit ribosomal RNA", at positions 359 to 774 of the family's 1533-position model. The record is from RNAcentral.
GAAUCUUCCGCAAUGGACGAAAGUCUGACGGAGCAACGCCGCGGGAGUGAAGAAGGCCUUCGGGUCGUAAAACUCUGUUGUUAGGGAAGAACAAGUGUCGGAGUAACUGCCUGCACCUUGACGGUACCUAACCAGAAAGCCGCGUCUAACUACGUACCAGCAGCCGCGGUACGACGUAGGUGGCAAGCGUUGUCCGGAAUUAUUGGGCGUAAAGCGCGCGCAGGCGGUUUCUUAAGUCUGAUGUGAAAGCCCCCGGCUCAACCGGGGAGGGUCAUUGGAAACUGGGAAACUUGAGUGCAGAAGAGAAGAGCGGAAUUCCACGUGUAGCGGUGAAAUGCGUAGAGAUGUGGAGGAACACCAGUGGCGAAGGCGGCUUUCUGGUCUGUAACUGACGCUGAGGCGCGAAAGCGUGGGGAGCAAACA